CCGGCGCACGGGUGCGUAACGCGUAUACAAUCUACCUUAUAGAGGGGGAUAGCCCAGAGAAAUUUGGAUUAAUACCCCAUAGUAUUAUGAAAUAGCAUUAUUUUAUAAUUAAACAUUUAUGGCUAUAAGAUGAGUAUGCGUUCUAUUAGUUAGUAGGUAAGGUAACGGCUUACCUAGACUUCGAUAGAUAGGGGUCCUGAGAGGGAGAUCCCCCACACUGGUACUGAGACACGGACCAGACUCCUACGGGAGGCAGCAGUGAGGAAUAUUGGACAAUGGGCGAGAGCCUGAUCCAGCCAUGCCGCGUGCAGGAAGACGGCCCUAUGGGUUGUAAACUGCUUUUAUACAGGAAGAAACACUCCCUUGCGAGGGAGCUUGACGGUACUGUACGAAUAAGGAUCGGCUAACUCCGUGCCAGCAGCCGCGGUAAUACGGAGGAUCCAAGCGUUAUCCGGAAUCAUUGGGUUUAAAGGGUCCGUAGGCGGGACAAUCAGUCAGCGGUGAAAGUCUGUGGCUCAACCAUAGAAUUGCCAUUGAUACUGUUGUUCUUGAAUACUUAUGAAGUGGUUGGAAUAUGUAGUGUAGCGGUGAAAU
This 594-nucleotide ribosomal RNA is filed under the name Gillisia sp. I14B-01194. Its description in RNAcentral is "bacterial SSU rRNA". It matches the Rfam family "Bacterial small subunit ribosomal RNA", at positions 95 to 687 of the family's 1533-position model. Lineage: Bacteria; Pseudomonadati; Bacteroidota; Flavobacteriia; Flavobacteriales; Flavobacteriaceae. The record is from RNAcentral.